AAACUAUGGUGAGGGAAACUCCUAAGUGUUUCCUUAAAUCUCCCCCAACUUUCAUAAAUAUGCUAUCCUUCAAAUUGACCAAAAGAUGUGAUUUUACUCCUAAGUUU
Small nucleolar RNA from Dendrobium catenatum, 107 nucleotides. Lineage: Eukaryota; Viridiplantae; Streptophyta; Magnoliopsida; Asparagales; Orchidaceae. The record is from RefSeq and is a predicted model, not a curated record.